Long non-coding RNA from Conger conger (European conger), 366 nucleotides. RefSeq lists it as uncharacterized. Lineage: Eukaryota; Metazoa; Chordata; Actinopteri; Anguilliformes; Congridae. The record is from RefSeq and is a predicted model, not a curated record. The transcript has 3 exons.
UGGACUGGACUGCCGCCGCAGUGGACAAUUUGAGCAGUCGCGAUGAAAAACUGAACCCCGAAUAAGCCAGGGGUCCUGUGCUGUAUUUUUGCUCGAGUGGAAAUUGCGAGAGGAGGAGGAGAGGCUCGGAAUUCUGCAGCUAUCGAGCUAUUAGAUCAGAACCCCCGCGGGAGGGAGAGGUGAAACAGACGGCUAAGGGACCUGACCGAGGACCUGUCAUAAAACUCUAACGUCCCUGGAUCGAGUGCGGGAACAGGAUGAAGAGGGCUUGUCUGUGAGGUCCUGAGCAGUGCUUGGUCCGAGCCUUGAGGGAGGAGGAAAUCCGCUCAUCCCCGCCCCGGCCCCGCCCCCCACCUCUGUCGCCGC